Molecule: transfer-messenger RNA, 393 nt
Filed under: Bacteroidales bacterium
Lineage: Bacteria; Pseudomonadati; Bacteroidota; Bacteroidia; Bacteroidales
Rfam family: transfer-messenger RNA
About the family: Bacterial tmRNA, also known as 10Sa RNA or SsrA, is named for its dual tRNA and mRNA-like properties. Its role is to liberate the mRNA from a stalled ribosome.
Source: RNAcentral
GGGGUUGACUGGAUUUGACGGGGAGUUUACAGGGAAUGUAAGCAUGUCGGGCCAUGGGGUUUGUCCCGCACAACCACACUCCAAAACAAUAACUGGCGAAGAAAACUUUGCUCUUGCUGCCUAAUCGAAGUAUAGUAGAUUGGCUUUACGCUAUUCAAGGAAUAGCGGCGAGACAUCGCACAGAAGGCACGUCCUUAGUCGUCUGAGUCUGCGGUGCUGUAAAUAAGGAAUAGGAACGACAAUUCUUGUGAGUUGUUCCGAGAUUUUUCAAGAUACGGUGUCAAUAGGGUGUCCGUCCUCAGUUGCCACCCGACAAUCAAAGGCGGAAUAAGCAUGUAGAAAGCAUUUUCGGUACUUGUCCGGACCGGAGUUCGAAUCUCCGCAGCUCCACAA